Small nuclear RNA from Salvia hispanica, 103 nucleotides. Lineage: Eukaryota; Viridiplantae; Streptophyta; Magnoliopsida; Lamiales; Lamiaceae. The record is from RefSeq and is a predicted model, not a curated record.
GUCCCUUUGAUGACAUCCGAUAAAAUUAGAAUGAUACAGAGAAGAUUUAUAUGACCCAUGCGUAAGAAUGACAUGCAUAAAUCGAGAAAUGAUUUAAAUUGGA